RNAcentral lists this ribosomal RNA (468 nucleotides) under uncultured bacterium. RNAcentral's name for it is "partial 16S ribosomal RNA". It matches the Rfam family "Bacterial small subunit ribosomal RNA", at positions 28 to 507 of the family's 1533-position model. The record is from RNAcentral.
GACGAACGCUGGCAGCGUGCUUAACACAUGCAAGUCGAACGGAAAGGCCCUGCUUUUGUGGGGUGCUCGAGUGGCGAACGGGUGAGUAACACGUGAGUAACCUGCCCUUGACUUUGGGAUAACUUCAGGAAACUGGGGCUAAUACCGGAUAGGAGCUCCUGCUGCAUGGUGGGGGUUGGAAAGUUUCGGCGGUUGGGGAUGGACUCGCGGCUUAUCAGCUUGUUGGUGGGGUAGUGGCUUACCAAGGCUUUGACGGGUAGCCGGCCUGAGAGGGUGACCGGCCACAUUGGGACUGAGAUACGGCCCAGACUCCUACGGGAGGCAGCAGUGGGGAAUAUUGCACAAUGGGCGGAAGCCUGAUGCAGCAACGCCGCGUGCGGGAUGACGGCCUUCGGGUUGUAAACCGCUUUCGCCUGUGACGAAGCGUGAGCGACGGUAAUGGGUAAAGAAGCACCGGCUAACUACGUG